Molecule: ribosomal RNA, 441 nt
Filed under: uncultured bacterium
Lineage: Bacteria
Description: bacterial SSU rRNA
Rfam family: Bacterial small subunit ribosomal RNA
Source: RNAcentral
UACGGAAGGCAGCAGUGGGGAAUAUUGCACAAUGGGCGAAAGCCUGAUGCAGCUAUGCCGCGUGUAUGAAGAAGGCCUUCGGGUUGUAAAGUACUUUCAGUCGUGAGGAAGGUGUUAAGGUUAAUAACCUUAGCAAUUGACGUUAGCGACAGAAGAAGCACCGGCUAACUCCGUGCCAGCAGCCGCGGUAAUACGGAGGGUGCGAGCGUUAAUCGGAAUUACUGGGCGUAAAGGGCACGCAGGCGGUUAAUUAAGUUGGAUGUGAAAUCCCCGGGCUUAACCUGGGAAUGGCAUUCAAGACUGGUUAGCUAGAGUCUUGUAGAGGGGGUAGAAUUCCAUGUGUAGCGGUGAAAUGCGUAGAGAUGUGGAGGAAUACCGGUGGCGAAGGCGGCCCCUGGGACAAAGGACUGACGCUCAUGUGCGAAAGCGUGGGGAGCAAAC